UUAACAAGAAUCAGAGAUUUCAAGUAAAGGGGUAUGAGUGCACCUUAGAGCGGCAAAUUUUUUUCGAGAAUCUGUUUACUGACAAAUCUCCAAUCUAAUGUUCAUCGGACCUAGGCAGAAAAUUGGCAACAAUACAAAUUAACAACAAAUCCAAAACAGCAAGCUGGAACCUCAAAACUUGACCACGACGAACCUCGAACCGGGAACCAAAAUCAACAAUCUUCUGAACCUCAAGCAAAUAUCGUGGAUUUUAAUACCAAAAUCAAGAUCAAAAUCAACAAUGAAGAAAUAGAAGCUCUUAUAUAUAUAUUUUUUGUAAUUUCAAGUAAACCAUAAUCUAAGUUUGCAUCUACAAAGUAUUUUUUGUUUUUUUUUCCCCCGCUUGCUGCUGCCUUUUCACACCAGUGCCGCUGGUCUCCGGCGAUCUAUGGGGCUGCUCGUGGUGAAGGGAGGUGAUAGAGAGUGGUUGUUCAUGGUUGUAUGAAGAAUAAAAAGGAAUAGAUAAGGGGGAGCAAUGGGUGUUUGUUCGGGCGUUGGGUGGCAGAUGGUUGGAGCUGGAGAGGUUGGUCGUGGGUUGCUGAGAGGUGAAGGAUGAAGUCUCUCCUAGGGUUCUGCUAGGGUGUCAUGGGUGUAAGGUUAUUGAGAGGGAGAUCGAGAUAGUAGCGGCUGGUUGCUGGUUGAGUAGCUGGCGAUGAGGGUGAUUGAAGAGACGAGAAAGAUGCAGUGGCGAUGGGGAUCUUGCCGUAGAUGGUAACGACGGCAGUGAGGAUAUGGGGUGGCGGAGGCGGCUCCUCUAGUCUCUAGGGUAUUAGGUUGUCUCCUACAUUGAAGAAGAUGAAGGUCAUUGUCUUAGGUUUUUUGCUAGGUUUCUUUUUGUUCUUCCAAGGUUCAAGAAGAAGAAGAUGUCCUCCAGGGUUUUAGUCAUUUAUUGAAGAAGAAGAAGAUGGGUUAGGAAGAAAGG
This 961-nucleotide long non-coding RNA is filed under the name Nicotiana benthamiana. RNAcentral describes it as "long non-coding RNA (NBEN_LNC003246)". Lineage: Eukaryota; Viridiplantae; Streptophyta; Magnoliopsida; Solanales; Solanaceae. The record is from RNAcentral.